Molecule: ribosomal RNA, 254 nt
Filed under: uncultured bacterium
Lineage: Bacteria
Description: partial 16S ribosomal RNA
Rfam family: Bacterial small subunit ribosomal RNA
Source: RNAcentral
GACGUAGGGGGCGAGCGUUGUCCGGAUUUAUUGGGCGUAAAGAGCUCGUAGGCGGCUCAGAAAGUCGGGUGUGAAACCUCCAGGCUCAACCUGGAGACGCCACCUGAUACUGCUGUGGCUAGAGUCCGGUAGGGGAACACGGAAUCCCCGGUGUAGCGGUGAAAUGCUUAGAUAUCGGGAGGAACACCAGUGGCGAAGGCGGUGUUCUGGGCCGGAACUGACGCUGAGGAGCGAAAGCGUGGGUAGCAAACAGG